Molecule: ribosomal RNA, 253 nt
Filed under: uncultured bacterium
Lineage: Bacteria
Description: partial 16S ribosomal RNA
Rfam family: Bacterial small subunit ribosomal RNA
Source: RNAcentral
UACGGAGGGUGCAAGCGUUGUCCGGAUUUAUUGGGUUUAAAGGGUGCGUAGGCGGCUUUGUAAGUCAGUGGUGAAAUAUGGCAGCUCAACUGUCAAGGUGCCAUUGAUAUUGCGGAGCUUGAGUACAGAUGAGGUAGGCGGAAUUGACGGUGUAGCGGUGAAAUGCUUAGAUAUCGUCAAGAACACCUAUAGCGAAGGCAGCUUACUAGGCUGUAACUGACGCUGAGGCACGAAAGUGUGGGGAUCAAACAGG